Ostrea edulis (European flat oyster) is the source of this 956-nucleotide long non-coding RNA. RefSeq lists it as uncharacterized. The transcript has 2 exons. The record is from RefSeq and is a predicted model, not a curated record. Lineage: Eukaryota; Metazoa; Mollusca; Bivalvia; Ostreida; Ostreidae.
GAACAUAUUGUUUUUACUCUGUUUCUUCUUAUUAAGGUCUUCCGUUUCCAACGGAAGACCUUCUAGUGAUUCUACUGUUUUUUCUUAUUAUUAUUUUUUUUUUCCCUUUCGUCUCCGAGACCGUUGGAUGGAUUUUCCUGAAACUUUCACAGGUUAUAGGGAACGAUGGUACCUCGAGGCAUUUUUUUCAUUUUUUCAAAAUUCACUUCCGUUCGUCAGAUACGUCCGAUUUUCCGGUUUUUGAAAGAAACUUUGUCCGGGGGUAAACUUGAAAACCACUAAAGAUAAUCGAAUGAAACUUUCAGGGAUGAUAGAUCUAUUUUCUCUAUGGUGCAUGCACGUAAUAUUUUUUGUCGCCGUCACUUCCGGUCGUCACCGGAAGUGAUCAAAUAAAUCAUCAAUUUCAAACUUUUUUCUUUCAAAUUGAAAGCUACUUUGGUUUACUAUAUCUCGUUCUAAUUCUCAAAAAAUGUUGACCCCACCGGAAGUUGAAUCUCCAACUUCCGGUUAUAUCAAAGAAAGACUAUUCAUUCUCUCAUUUUUCAGUGCCAUAAAUCUCGGUCAUGAAACUAGUUAAUGAGUUGAGUUUUACAUAUAUUAUAGUCACUAUAAAUGUCUAGAGUAACGUCAAAUAUUUUUGUAAAAUUCACUUCCGGUCGGCAAAUACGGCUAAUGAGCUGUUUUCGUUGUCAAUCGUUUUUCUCAGAAACGGUAAAAGAUAGAGUCACCAAAAUUUCAGAGUUAAUAGAUCUCACUUUGUAGGGGUGCAGUAGGGGGGUAAGAAUGUCGGCCGUCACUUCCGGUCGUCACCGGAAGUGAUUAAUAAAUCAUAAAUUUCAAACUUUUUUCCUUAAAAUUGAAACCUAUAUCGGUUUAUUAGGUCUCGUUCUAAUUCUCAAAAACUAUUGACCCCACUGGAAGUUGAAUCUCCAACUUCCGGUUAUAUGAAAGAAAAA